UAACAUCAAUUAUAACAAUAAGCUUCAAUUAAUCACGUUGAAGAUAAUUGACAUUCAUUAUUAACAAGAUUUACAUGAAAUUAAAAGAAGGAUUAGGGUUUUUCAGAAUGUCACCAUUGAAAUUAGGAGACAGCUCUCACUCUCCUCACUUGACCGAACGGCGGCGCCGAGAGGCUUCUUCUCCGGCGAGCUCAUCUCCUUCGAUGCAAGCCAAUAGCGCGACGUAUCCCUCUCUCUCUCCAUUCAUUCCUCUUCUCAUCGAACUCAUCUCAGUUCUCUCUCCGUUCAAUCUCUCUUCUCUUCCGAUGAGCCAUUGUUACGUCGCCGCUGUGAAUUGUUUCCCUCUCUCAUCUCAUUUGAGGUUUCUUCAUGUUGCUUCGAAGGUAUGCAGGAAUUGUAGUGGUGCUAGAUGACUCACGAUUAUUGCUACGGUAUUGAAGUCGUCGUGAAGAUUGAAGAAGAAGGAGACAAGAUCGAAGAACUGUGUUGAUGUUGUUGAUGAAGGAAGCGAAGCUGCAUUGAAUCCUGGAUGAUAAUCGUGAUGAGAGUUCUUGAAGAUUGAUCGGGAUUGGUGAACGAAGUUGUUGUUGGCGCGUUUGAUGCAGCGUGAAGCAAUCUCCCUGAGUUUGUUACAGGUUUGUUACCAUUUUCUCCUUCUCUUUUCUGAGUUUUGAUGAUAGAGGUUUUUUUGUUAUCUUGGUGUUAUGAAGAAGAUGAUUGUUGAAGGUGUAUGAACAAUUAUGGUGAGCAUUUUUUGUUGAAUGUAAGAGCAAAAGGUUUUAGAAUUGAUGGAGAAAAUUCAGCGAGAGAGAAGGAUCCUCAGGUGUGGUCAAGAUCGAAUGUAGAUUGAAGAAGUUCUGGAGAGGUGAAUCAAUGAAGAUGAUGGAGAAUUGAGAUUGAAGAGAGAGUCUGUUACAUUUUUCUGUUAUGUGAAGAGUGGUCUGGUUUUGUUGAAUAGAUAUGAAUGCAAGUUGCUUGUUUCCGGUUUGAAGAGUAUGGAGCACCACUCAGUUUAGAACCUGGACCGGUUUAGAAUUGAAGGGAUUUUGAACAAGAUAUGCUGCAAGUUGAUGGGCAUUCGGUGCAGCGGUGGCAAUUAUAAACCUUCCUUUUUGUAAUUAUGGAUGUAAGAAUGUAAUAGAGACAUUUGGAUUUUUGAAUUGAACUUAGAACCGUGAAAGAUAUCCAAAUUAAAACUGUGCUAUGCGGUCUUGGAACCUGCUCUUUUUGAAAUCCAAAUGUAUUUUCUCUCCACACUUAUAAACCUCACUCAACUUUAACAACUUUGAUCAAAUUUUCAACUUUGAAUGAAUGCCUCAAACUA
Vicia villosa (hairy vetch) is the source of this 1324-nucleotide long non-coding RNA. RefSeq lists it as uncharacterized. Lineage: Eukaryota; Viridiplantae; Streptophyta; Magnoliopsida; Fabales; Fabaceae. The record is from RefSeq and is a predicted model, not a curated record. The transcript has 2 exons.